UAUCAAUAAGCGGAGGAAAAGAAACCAACAGGGAUUGCCUUAGUAACGGCGAGUGAAGCGGCAACAGCUCAAAUUUGAAAUCUGGCUUCGGCCCGAGUUGUAAUUUGUAGAGGAUGCUUCUGGCGACGUGCCUUCCGAGUCCCCUGGAACGGGGCGCCGAAGAGGGUGAGAGCCCCGUACGGUUGGACGCCGAGCCUCUGUGAAGCUCCUUCGACGAGUCGAGUAGUUUGGGAAUGCUGCUCUAAAUGGGAGGUAAAUUCCUUCUAAAGCUAAAUACCGGCCAGAGACCGAUAGCGCACAAGUAGAGUGAUCGAAAGAUGAAAAGCACUUUGGAAAGAGGGUUAAAAAGUACGUGAAAUUGCUGAAAGGGAAGCGCUUGCGACCAGACUCGCGCCUGGCGGAUCAUCCAGCGUUCUCGCUGGUGCACUUCGCCUGGCACGGGCCAGCAUCGGUUCGGCGGGGGGGAUAAAAGCCCGGGAAACGUAGCUCCCUCCGGGGAGUGUUAUAGUCCCUCGCCCAAUGCUCCCUGCCGGACCGUGGACCGCGCCUUCGUGCAAGGAUGCUGGCGUAAUGGUCGUUAGCG
This 583-nucleotide ribosomal RNA is filed under the name Zalerion xylestrix. Its description in RNAcentral is "eukaryotic LSU rRNA". It matches the Rfam family "Eukaryotic large subunit ribosomal RNA", at positions 41 to 646 of the family's 3401-position model. RNAcentral also lists the same sequence under 1 other name. The record is from RNAcentral. Lineage: Eukaryota; Fungi; Ascomycota; Sordariomycetes; Lulworthiales; Lulworthiaceae.